AAUAGAUACCCGGGUAGUCCACGCCGUAAACUAUGAGAGCUAGACGUCGGGCGGCUUGCCGUUCGGUGUCGCAGCUAACGCAUUAAGCUCUCCGCCUGGGGAGUACGGCCGCAAGGUUAAAACUCAAAGGAAUUGACGGGGGCCCGCGACAAGCGGUGGAGCAUGUGGUUUUAAUUUCGAAGCAACGCGCAGAACCUUACCAUCCCUUGACUUGGAUAUCGCGGCCCGGGAGACCGGGCUUUCAGUUCGGCUGGAUAUCACACAGGUGCUGCAUGGCUGUCGUCAGCUCGUGUCGUGAGAUGUUGGGUUAAGUCCCGCAACGAGCGCAACCCUCGCUGCUAGUUGCCAGCAUUCAGUUGGGCACUCUAGCGGAACCGCCGGUGAUAAGCCGGAGGGAGGUGGGGAUGACGUCAAGUCCUCAUGGCCCUUACGGGAUGGGCUACACACGUGCUACAAUGGUGGUGACAGAGGGUAAUCCCUAAAAGCCAUCUCAGUUCGGAUCGGGGUCUCGCAACGUCGACCCCGUGAAGUUGGAAUCG
This 539-nucleotide ribosomal RNA is filed under the name uncultured bacterium. RNAcentral's name for it is "bacterial SSU rRNA". It matches the Rfam family "Bacterial small subunit ribosomal RNA", at positions 777 to 1334 of the family's 1533-position model. The record is from RNAcentral.